Molecule: long non-coding RNA, 20183 nt
Organism: Spinacia oleracea (spinach)
Lineage: Eukaryota; Viridiplantae; Streptophyta; Magnoliopsida; Caryophyllales; Amaranthaceae
Exons: 4
Source: RefSeq, a predicted model, not a curated record
AAUGGGCGGACAAAUCGAGACACCUUAGGAAAUAUUAAUUUUUUAGCAUACAAGUACUCCGUCUCUUAUUUGGAGCAAAAUUCAUAGGUUCCAGAACCAUCUUUUCUAAAAUCUCCCUCAAGCCCUCCCUUCUCACACACCUACUCGCUGAUCAUCAUUUCAGUCGUUCAUUCUCAGCCUAUACCAUCUCAUGUCCUCGCCGCUAGUUGUUCCUUCUCCCUUAUACAAGUUAAGUUGAUGAUGUUGAUGGAGGCUAACCUUAGAAAUUCCUAUAUAUUGGAGAAAAUUGAGUCUCAAAUUUCGAUAAUAACGAGGUAUUUUUUUUUCUGUUUAUCACCAUCUUAAUUUUGUUAAGAAAUUGAUUUUUUUGUUCAGUUUGAUAAUAUUGCUUAGUUUUAGAUUUAAUUAUCCCCCUUGUGUAUGUGCUCAAUUAUGAUAUAGUAACGUAGAUUGUUUUGGGAAUUUCAGGUUUUGUUCAAUUAAACAUUUUUUGGGGGGUUUUAGGGUUAAUGUUUAAUUAGUUUUUUAAAUUUAUUGAAUUCAAUUAACACUCCAAUAUUGAAGUUUCGAAUAUUUGAUUUGUAAUAUUGUUCUUUCAAUUUCAAUAGAAGUGUUCUGAAUUACUUUGUGUUCCUCUAUGCUUCUUAGAGACUCAUAGUAGUUAAGAAGGUAUAGUAGUUUAGUUUAAAAAAAUGAAUUGGCCUAGUUGUUAAUUUGUUAUCAAUUCUAUGGUCUUUAGAGUGUAAACCACAAGUCUCAAAGUUAAGGAAUCGUAUUGGUCAUGCUAUUGUAGACGAGGUGGUUUUUUUUUUUUUGUUUUUUUGAUAUACUGUUCUUUGGUUUUCUAUUGUUUAGAUGAUUUCGACUAAGAUAGUUAUUAUUUUGAAGCUCAUGGAUGUUUUAACCCAUGUGUAUCAAGGGGUAUUCACCUCACGACUCUCGCACUCAAAGAAAGUAUCAUACCACAUAUCAAAUUCCCUCUCAUUGCUAAAAUAUUCUCUAAUUCCAUCCUUGAUAUACUUGACAUAUUCUCUAUAUAUUUGGUGUAGGGUUAGCUUGUUGAAGUUGAUGGACUCUACAGUCCUGUUCUGAUGCUGCUCAAAGCUGUAAGAUUAGUUAUCAUGCUAUUGCUCUCUACCUGUGUCUAAAACUUCAAAGUAGGGAGAUUUCAGCUUGACUACUAGCCACUAGAUCAGAGUGACCAAAUUAUCAUUGAUAAUACACUGCUAGGUUAAGUAGUAUUAUGGUAUUAAUUGGCAUUCCAAGAAUUUAACUCAGUGACCAAAUUCCAUUUAUUGCCUUUGAUCUGAUUUUUUACGCAUUACUUUUUUGGUGGAGUUGGAUAUAAUUAUCCAUAUCUAUUGGAGCGUAUAUUCGAAAGAAAAGCCCUUUUGAUUUCAUCUUGUCUGAUUGGCAUGCCAGGUACAUGCUCCGUUUAUUUUUUUUAUCAUUUUGCUUGGUACAAAACUACCAAACUAAUUUGCCAAUUAGAUCAUUGACAAAUAUAUGAUGCAUACUAAACUUAAUGGUGAAAGUUAACGUAUAGAAAAGUAAGGUGAGGAGAAAAUGUCAUUCUUGGAGUUAUUGUUUGCCUUCUUGGUCGUCAUGGUACGGUCUUUAUCAUGUUGAGAUAAUUCUUGAGUCAACAUAACUUACUAUAUGGACACAUCUAUUUUGGCAGACUAGUUAGUUGUAGACAACUUCUUCUACUUUCACAAUUAUUGUACAUUUGUACAUGAAGUAUAAGAUAAAUAGAAUUAGGGGUUUCUUGCACCAUAAACUAGAAAAUCAUGUGAAAGCUCAUCUAUUUGAUUCUAAUGCUUUUUAGUUCGUUUAUGUAGUAGUGCGCGUUCUGUCGCAAUCGACCCAAAAGUCGAACAGAACGUAUCCUAUCUCUUGUAGUUGAUGAAUUAAGCCUAAAUACUGGAACACUGCUCAGAAACCCGAGAUUCAUUAAAUAAAAGGAGAAAUAGCAAGGCCAAGUGGUUAGUUUUCUGAGAACCGUGACGCACCUCUCAAGGGUGCGUUGUAAUGUGUCCCUUCGCAUGAUUUAAUCGCUUUCAUCACCCUUUUAUAAAAUUAUUAAACUAUUAAUUUGAUUUCUCUGUCACGCCUAAUAAGAUAAUACCUUGGACAAUUGAAUUAUCAUGCUAGGUAUCUUAAAUCAAUCUAAAUAAGAUAAUCACGAUCGAUUUAGUAUUAUGUGUUGCAUAUUGCUAAAAUCAAUUCAGAAUAGUUUAAUAGUUUAAACGCAUGUACCUUCAAUUAUUUAUGCUGAGCUAGUAAGGAUAACCUGCCUCUAGAGUUAUCGAUAAGCACUCCUCUCGGUAGUUACAGUCCCCCGAACUCCCAAUCUCUGCCCUGCGGGUGUACGUUGAGCGAUCCCCACACCAGGGAUCACAAGGGAACCUAUGGCCGUCGUGGUCGAGCAUAAUUGCACUCCCUUUAUGUCACGAUAACCGGGUUUUGUCAGUUUUUCUCAUUGUCGUUAAAAACUGAAUGGCGACUCCUAUGUUACUAGUCGAUUGGGUGUAAACUCACAGGAAAUCUAACUACACUUGAUCUGACGACGUCACGCCCACGAGGGACGAGGUAAUGCAUUAGCCUCGUGCUUUUUCGACCCCCUCACAGUGGCGACUCCGCUGGGGGACGUUAAUGAAAUACUCGUGCUCGUAGGUAAUCAAAAUAGCCGAAGGGUGAAACGAUCCUAUUCCGCGUUUAUUUCCUUAUCAAGUUGGGACGACCUGAAAAUCAACAUAUUAAUGUGAACGGACAGAACCGCAUAACGAAUCUCGGCUCCCUUGGCAUGUUUCAUCUCGGAAGUUGGGACUAAGGAUACCCAUCGCCAACCGGGGGGUGCAUACGCUUCGAACGUUGUCCACUCGGCACUUUUCGCUAGUAAUACACCCGUCCCAAACCCAAUCGCUCGCCCACUAAGGUCCCUCUCAUUGGUGCAUGCCCCCUUGGCUUACAUCGUGAUUGGCCUCUUGGGACGAAAUUCGUCUGUUGAAUGCACUAUCUCGACUGGGGCAUGUGUUGGAUCUACGAUAGAAGCGGUACCAAGCCGGCGCAAAUAUUACCCAUAGAAGCCUAUUAUAAACUACGUGACAUAUUAUUUUUGCUUCAUGUUGUAAUGUUAGUUAUGUGUAGCGAAUUACGUGAUUGUGUUGUGAUUGUGUGUGACAAAUAACGCUAGAAAACCAACGACCCUUAAAAUUGCCCAAACAUUCAUAAACACCAAUUGGCCAAAGAGUUAUACCUAAAUACGUGUCCUGCAAUCCCGGGCGAUCGCCACAAAAAUAAGCGACGCCCAGGACGGCCUGUAACGGAUCCCACGACGCUGAAUAACGCGCAAAGGACGUUAUUGGGCAAGCACGCAAAAUUAAGUCGUAUGUACGAAAAAAAUAGACGAACAGAAUACGAGUACUAGUCAGGGACGCAUUUUCAGCGCCCCUGGCUGGGCGCCAAUUAUUUCAACGCCCCUGCUGGGCGCUGAAGUUGCUGCUUGGCCUUUGGCCCGCGCACAAAAUAUACGUAGCAAUAAAAAAUUCGUAACAAAUUUGCUACGAGGACGUAUGAAAAACGCACUCGAUUCUAAGAACGACUUAUAAAAUAAACAACUCUUUGUGUCGUCAUUAGGCCUCCUAUGACGACAAUGUUUGGCACCAAAACCGAGCACGCUAAUUAAAUGACCUUGAAUGUCACAUGGGCAAAGUAUUCAAACAAAAUAAUGUUCAAAUAAAGUUUUCAAGGAAAAAUAAUGUUCGAAUAAAAAAUAAAUAAAUCUGAGUCUAGACUAGGCUAUGCCAAAGUACAAUCUAAAUCCUAAGUCUUAGUUGUCUUAUACAUAGAAUCGGUCCUAAUGCUUGGUGUCGUCCUACAAGUUAAAAGGUUAAACCAUAUUGAGUCUCCCUUCCUAACAUUUAAAAGAAAUCAAUAAGCGCCCAUAUGUAAUUGUCAUCCCUUGUUAAGAAUCUACGGCCUCAAUACUCUCUCUCACCAAUAACAAGAAUAUAUUAUAUAAUUCAAGUAUUUGCAAAAUGGAAACAGUCACAUUCUGAAAAUCAUUCCUCCAUAGUCGCACAACCCCCAAAGUGAACCUAAGGUGUUAAUACCAUUGGAAAAAAAAAUUAAUGGCCUCAAGGCUUAUGAUCACAUUGGGUCACGACUAUCAUAGUCCUCUCGAGCCACUCGCUCCUUGAAAUACUCCUAAGCCCGGACUAAAAGAUUUUCCAUGAAUGCAACAUGACGAACCAUGAAAGUACCCAAAUCGGCAUGCCAUAAGGCUACCAUUGGGGUAAAGCGAUACACACCAAGAGGGAAGCCGCACUAAUGAUUCUAGUCUUGCAAAAAUGAAAAUUCGAUCUCCCCAACUAACUACCUUGCCAACAUUAAGCAAAAUGGCGCAUGACAAAUGAACACCCAAGGGUUAAAAUCUAAAGUGUCAACCAACGAAAGUUAUGGUCCAAUUAGCCUAAGUCUGAGAGUCGCUUGGUCAAGUAUUAUAGGCUUACGCCUCGUCAUUAUUUUGAGUCUAGGCCACCUUCUUGUAUUCAUACACGGGUUAUAAUCAGAAAAAUUAAUGAAAGUUCGAGUCUAAAUCACAACUUCCAAUUAAAUCCCGGAAACUGGAAUCUGAAAAGAAGCAAAAAAAAUUAUUAUUUUCGAUGUAAUUCUUUCGUUAAAAUUCUAUAAAGUAAAAAACAACAUUUUGAAUCUACGCUAUUUGCACAUUUUAAGAAACGACUAAAUACGCUUGCAAAGUAAAACAAUUUAAAGGUCCACCCUAGGCCUACUAAAAUUAAAGGUCCACUAUAGGCCUACCAAACGAGGCUCACUCAGUCUCGCCUCGUGACUCAAAGACCACAACCAUCUACCUUUUAGCCCAAAUAAAAAGGGGGGAGAAAUCCCAAGCAAAAAAAGAAAAAAGAGAAAGAGAAAAGGGAGAGCGAAAAGAGCGAGCCAUGAAAUACUUAGCCCGUACCUCCCAAAGUGCGAAAUUUACCCAAGUAAACGGAGGAAAAGAAUUGAGUCAACCAAUCCAAAUCAUACCACAAAAACUACAUAAAGUUCUACGAUCUUCUACCCUUUCCAAUCCUCAUGCUUGACUAAUACCUAUACAAAUUAUCCUAUCUCAUUCAACCCAUCUUUCAAGCCGUCUUGAGUCACGAAUAAAAAAAAACAAAUGAAAAGUACAUUCUACGCUUAACGUAAAAAAAUUAAAUAAAAUAAAAAUUUUAAAAUUAUAAAAAAGAAACUUUGCAAAGCGCCUUUAAAGUUUGUCUAAAAAAAAAAAGAGAAAGCAUUUAGCGCACAAAAAAAGAUUCGCAAAUAUUUGGCACAAAACGAAAAGAAGCAACGAGCCAAGAAAUCUCCCCAGGAAUCACUUUCAACGCCCAGAGCUGGGCGCCGGAAUCUAUAACGCCCCAGCCUGGGCGCUGAAUCUCUUUGCUUGCCAAAUUUUGUCCAGAAGUGCUCGUCAUUUUAUCCGCACAUACACGGAAAAAUAACGAACACUUGGAGGGGUACAACACGUAUUCAGAUAUACGUACCAAAAAAAACAAGAAAAGAUUUUUGUGCAAAUACAUGUACUUAAAAAAAUAAAACAAAUUUUUGGCUUACGGCAAAGCAGCAGAUUAAAAUAAUAAUAAACUUCACUUAUUUCACCCUAUUUCAAACAUUACGAUUCCACUCGAACGUACUUUUUUAAAAUUGGAAUUCUAAGAAACCAUUUUCUGGCUAAGAACUACGUAAGACCUGAUUCCAAAUUAAAUCUAUUUAAGGCGGAUACGUAGGCAAUCCAUGAUUCGGUCCAACCAAUUAGCAAAAAUGUUAAAACCUAUAGAAUAACAAGAAUAAAAAAUAGAGUCCCUUAUUGAAAUUUAAUUACUUGCAAUCCAAGUCGAAAGAAAAAAUUUAAGUCAAAAGAAGAAUCCAAGUCAUCAAGAUGCCAAAAUAAGCACACAUCGAAAAAUAAUAAGGGCACGUACCCUUGCCAGAAGGAGCACUCACACUCCUAGGCACUUAGCCAAUAUUCAAAAGAUCGCUUUGCCUCAAUUGAAUGGGGGCUAGCGCGAGCGUCCAUGACCUCUAAAGUACUCGACUUGACCCUCCCUAAAGCAAAGUAACUCACUUAAAGACCUUUCACCACUAGACAUAGUCAUAAUCGCCAACAAGUAGUAAAGGAAGUAAGCUUGCAAUAAAGAGGAUUGUUCUACGGCAUCGCCCCAUCGUUCCUUCGAACUCAGGCUAUCCGUUCAUGGUAAUUCAAAUGCUUGCGAAUCCCCUUUGAAAAAAAAUCAGACAUUGUCAAUAGGACUUGGCACUUAACCAAGGCUCACCCUACUCAGACAUAUGACACGGGCAUCUAAAAUCGAAAUCUGAAAGCAUCAUUAGUGAGAAGACAUAAUAGCAACUGGGGGCUAAAAAUUGAAAUGAAGGAGCUAGGGAAAGAACUAAGUAUACCUUGACCUUUUGUGCAGACAUACACCAAGUAAAUCUAAGUCAAUUUGAAAGUGGUUUAUAUUCCCGAAAUUCUGGAAAAGAUGGCCCUAAAAACCUAAAGCGUGUACCACACGGGCACAAGUAAUAUCUUGACGCCUGCACCCUGGCUUCCAGCAAAUCCUUAGACAGCAUUCCGAAAAUCGUAACAGUAUUUUGAUUUACUCAUGUAAUCCUGUACGAACCCUUCUAUAAGUCAACUUACCUAGGACACCUCGGAUUGUACACAGUAGGACUCGGAUUUCAAAUAAUUUUCAAAGACUUCUUCGAACAUAAUAAAGUGUCGUUGGUUUAAGCUAAGUAUGCGUUUAUCUCGAUGUUGCAAGUGAGUCAAAAAGAUUUCUAAAUAUGAUUAUGGGUAAAGAAAGGCACCUAGCUUUUGGUCAAGGCACACUUCAACAUGUGACUACCUUGACUAUGGCAAUGUCGCACAAUACGACAUUUACAAGAGAAGUAGCAAAUCACUACUCGAACGUACCUCGCACUAAACGAGUCUGGUUCACACUAUUCAUGAUCCAUGCCACCAUUAAUGCAUAAAAACGUAUGCCAAGCAUUAUAUCACCAAGCCAAUCCCUUAGCUACAAUUGGGGGCUUGAGAAAAACACUCCAAAAAUGCUCGAAAUGACGAUUUUAUCGCAAAUUCUCGACGCUAAUGCUAUACAUACAUCAUAGGGGCACAAUCCUAAGGUUUGAUCGUGUAAAACGAACCUUAGAAUGGCUACAACCCCUCCCACAUUCUAAGCGCUACUUAGAAUAUAUAAAGUCACCCCACUAACAAGGGUAACUGAAAAUCGCGAGUCACCAAAACUCCGAUCAAACUACUGCACAUAACGCUCGCCCUACAAGCGCCCGUUACACAGUCUACGUCGUUCCAAAGCAAAAGCGAAAAAAAUCAAGGAUGAUAAAAAAAAAGAAAGAAAGAAACAUCUAUGAAUCCUCGCAUCGAACGAAGUAAUAAGCCGUGCACACCCACGCAGAAGGUGCUACACUUGUUCAAGCACCUGAACGAGGCGUGAUGAAGUACUCCAAUGCAAAAAAUAAUAAUAAUAUCCCAACACCUGGAGGAAUGAUCUAAGACACGCUGUUAGGCCACACAAGCCUACGUCGCACCAUAAGUUUAACCAUCCCACGGUACAAGUCUAAAAAAAAGAGUAAGGCAUAUUGCACUAAUGCAGGCACGACCAAGAGCAUGUGUAAAAGAGGCAAAGACUACUUAUCGCCCAAAUUCAAAAUGCAAGGCACACGACUUCUACAUUAAGGAUUAAAGGUAGAAAAACAUUACCUACCACAGAAGGGAUAGCUCGCACCUACACGAGCGGAACCCCAAGGCAUCUUUCUCGAAAGAACCUACAAAAAUUGUACGCCAAAAGGAAGCAUCCCAACAUGCAUACUUGGGGGCUACAAGCUACGAAACGACCGUAGCAAAAUAAAAAAUCUCAAAGCAAAUGUUUGAACGAUCAAAAGGGCACGAUGCUUGAGCCCACUUCAUGAAUGGGCCUGAACCCUAUCAAGCUUCUAAGCAAACUAUUCAACAUCAGUCAUUGCUCAAAAAAAAAAAAAAUGAUUCAGACAAACUGAUUAAUGGACCGCACGCAACGGCCAUUCUAUGAACGCUCAUUCGCACGUACAUUCUAAGUAGCGAACAUUCACGAACACGAUCAAAAGAAAAAAAAUAUAUACGUUCAAAAUAACAACAAGAGCGAUCAAAGUCUUACGCCUCAAAGUAUGUUCCUCGGGCCAUAUGGACUCGCCCGAUUAUUGCAAUAACUGUACGCCUUAAGAGCAACAGUCCCUUUAAAAAAUCGCCCCAAAGCGACAAACACCGUAGUCCACCAAUCGGCUACAGCUUCUCGAGAAAUCAUCACGAGAAAGUCCUGCCUGGGACGCACUUUCAACGCCCAGGACCAGGCGCUAGAUAUUCCGACGCCCAGCUCUGGGCGCUGAAAAUCAGCUCAACUCAUUGUGAUCUCUAACAAAAUUCUACGUUCCAAAAAUAAAGAAAAACAAAAGAGAAGAGAAUACGUAGAAUUUCCAAGUGAAAUAAACGAACGAACAAGAGGCCAACUAUGUCAUCAAAAGACCAGCCCAAGCAAUAUUUUCAACGCCCCACUUGGGAGUGAGAUAUUUCUAACGCCCAGGCCUGGGCGCCGAAAAUGAGCCCAGGUCCAAAAGAAGCCCGGAUUUCUAUAGGGCCCUGCCGUAUCCAUUCGACUCAAAAAUUGCCGAUUUCUUUACUGAAAGUCGCACCUCACGGCUUUGUUAAGAGUAGCACACCACUACAAAGAUCGCUCGCACUUACGAGCACGAUCCCAAACACGAUCAAGGACAUUACAAAAUGCGUAUCCCCAAGGAACCUCUUUGACAAGAAAUGACCGUCAAGCACGAGUGCUUGGGGGCUCGAAAGAAAAUAUAUAUUUCAAAAUAGAGUAUGCAAAGUAAAACAAAAGAUAAAACCGGAUUACGACCUCAAGACAAAGGUCGCCGUUGAUACUUAUACAUAGUCCCCUAAUCAAGGACCCAGGUAGUGGCAAAAUUGAGUCGUAAAGACUAGCUCAAAACCAUGAAAGAUGAUGACCACGAGACAAUGGUCCGUCUAAGCACGUUGUCAAUCCACAUUCAGGUUGCAACUAAAUCCGAGCAUCCCUCGAAAGAAAAUAAAUUCUUCAAAAAAAAAAAAACAGGCUCUCCAUCUUCAGCCGGCGGGGUCUGCGUCACUAACCGCGCAGGUCCUCAGUUUUCGAAAAUGAAAAGGAAAUAAAAUCUUCAAGAACAAAAACAGGCUCGCCAUCUUCAGCCGGCGGGGUCUACGUCACAAACCGCGUAGGUCCUUAUUUUCAAAAACAUCAAAACAGAUUCGUCCACUUCUAUCGGACGGGGCGUCCACCCUCAGCGGACAGGCUCGCCCACCUUCAGCGGGCGGGGUCUGUGUCACUAACCGCGCAGGUCCUUAGUCGCUGCAGCGAUAACUUUUCCUGGUUUAUCUUUUUCCAAAAAUCAAACGAUGGUUUAUCUUUUUCCAAAAAUCAAAAGAUGGUUUCCCUUUUCCAAAAAUCAAAGGAUGGUUUCCCUUUUCCAAAAAUCAAAGGAUGGUUUCCCUUUUCCAAAAAUCAAAGGACCGUUUCUCUUAUCAAAAAUCAAAAAAUUGGUUUUCCACUUUUCCAAAAAAGAGUGAUGUGCUGGAUUUUCUUGCAUUUUACGUCCUAUAAAAACAAGGGGAUUUUUCUCGUCUAGCUAACCCUGAAAAUGAGAAUCUUUAAAAACAUUUUUACCUCGUGAUUGGGCUUGGCCAGGCUUGGUUACACUUUAUAGCUUUGAUUUCGAAAACAUCUGUAGAUACUUCCAAUGACAAAGUGAGGGAGUUUCUAUACAUCUUUAGAUACUUCCAAUGACAAAGUGAGGGAGUUUCUAUACUAUUGGUUAACAGAUUCCAAUGACACGUGAGGAAUGUGUUAACACUUCAAGUGAUGACCCUUAAGUCAAAUGUAAUCACUCGGGGGCUCGUGAGACCCUCGCAAAACAAGUCACAUACACCAUGGCUUGUAUGACGCACUCCGUCCAGUACUUUGACCAUCGUCUCAUCUCGAGACUCAGUCAAAGUAGGGGCUAACUGUAGACACCUACUUUUGUCCCCAUUCCCGAAAGGGAAGGUUCGAUGAUGAGAACGUAAAUCUCCACUUGGCAACGCAUCUCCUAUAAAAUAACGAAUCUCAAUCACCCUUUAAUUUCAGCCAAAAUUGCUAUUUAUAGAAACCUGCUAAAAAUAGUAACUGCCGUAAGAAGUAGUUGUUAAAAGUGGCAAAGUCAUAAAAGAUAGAAAUCUGUCAGAAUUAGGUGUUGCACUCCAACAUAAGUCCUAAAAGAGAUAGAAUUGGCAAAAGGAAUUUUAUUCCUGCUAUAAUUCGAAAAUAAGAGUUACGUAUUAAUUAAAUUCCUAACGAAUCUAGAGCUCGUAACGGGCCCAGACGCAUUCCGUCAUAAUUUAAUACGUACUAAGAAACUCGGAUAAGUCUCAAAAGCUCCGUGUUUAAGAGUCCAGAUCUGACAAAAGGCUCGGCCCAGAUCCUAUUUUCAACGCCUGGGUCUGGGCGCUGAAAAUACCUGGGGCCGUGUCGUCUGCGAAUUCUUUUUGGAUUCAUAUUCUAAAGAUCUAUCUUUCCACAAACUCUUUCCCUAUAAAUACAACCUCAAAACCGACAACACAACAUGACACACAAUUCCAUAACCUGAGUAUUGACUCUAGCCUUAAAGCCGAGCCUCACGCUGCGAAAUUGAUCUGGCGUUCUGUCGCAAUCGACCCAAAAGUCGAACAGAACGCGUCCUGCCCCUUGUAGCUGAUGAUUUAAGCCUAAAUACUGGAACACUUCUUAGAAACCCGAGAUUCGUUAAAUAAAAGGAGAAAUAGCAAAGCCAAGUGGUUAGUUUUCUGAGAACCGUGACGCACCUCUCAACGGUGCGUUGUAAUGUGUCCUUCAUAUGAUUUAAUCGCUUUCAUCACCCUUUUAUAAAAUUGUCAAACUAUUAACUUGAUUGAUCUAUCACGCCUAAUAAGAUAAUACCCUGGACAAUUGAAUUAUCAUGCUAGGUACCUUAAAUCAAUCUAAAUAAGAUAAUCACGACCGAUUUAGUAUUAUGUGUUGCAUAUUGCGAAAAUCAAUUCAAAAUAGUUUAAUAGUUUAAACGCAUGUCCCUUCAAUUAUUUAUGCUGAGUUAGUAAGGAUAACCUGCCUCUGGAGUUAUCGAUGAGAACUCCUCUUGGUAGUUACAGUCCCCCGAACUCUCAAUCUCUGCCCUGCGGGUGUACGUUGAGCGAUCCCCACACCAGGGAUCACAAGGGAACCUAUGGCCGUCGUAGUCGAACAUAAUUGCACUCCCUUUAUGUCACGAUAACCGGGUUUUGUCAGUUUUUCUCAUUGUCGUUAAAAAUUGAAUGGCAACUCCUAUGUUACUAGUCGAUUGGGUGUAAACUCACAGGAAAUCUAACUACACUUGAUCUGACGACGUCACGCCCACGAGGGACGAGGUCAUGCAUUAGCCUCGUGCUUUUUCGACCCCCUCACAAGGGGCAAGCAAAUCCGACCUUCCUAGAAAAUUGGAUUAGGGAGUUUGAAAAACUCUUUGGGGCGGUAAACUGUCCUGAAAACAUGAAAGUAGGUCAAGUUGUCCUUUACUUGAAAGACGAGGCCGAUUAAUGGUGGAGAGAGAAUGGAACUAGGUUAAGUGCUUCUGAGGGGUUUAAUUGGGACUCAUUUGUUGUUUCAUUGAGGGGGAAGUUUUAUCCUCCUUUUAUGAGAAAGCAAAAAGCACAUGAAUUCAUAAACCUUGGGAUGGGGAGUAUGACCAUCGCUGAUUACUAUAGGAAAUUUAUAGCACUGUCGAGGUUUGCACCUGAGGUUGUAGCCACGGAGGAGCUAAAAGGCUUAGAGGUUUGAGUAAGGGUUGACCGAUGAGAUCCAGCUGGGAUUAGGUGGGGAAACCUUCACAUCUUUGGAUAUUGUGUAUGUGAGAGCUUCCCAUAUUUAUGGUUUGCAUUAUAGAAGGGACAAGAAAAAUGUUGUUGUUGGGGAGAAAAGAAAAGAGUUUAAUGCUGGGGAAAACCAAGGGAAUUUCAAGAGGAAUAUGAAUGAGAAUAGGAAUUGGAAUGGAAAUGGAAAUUUUCAAGGAAGGAACAAUCAGGGGCACAAUAAUAGGAAUCAAUCUGAGAGAGUGUAUCACUGUAAGAUGUGGAUUAACAACCAUCCUGGUGUAGAUACUGCAAUGGAGAAUUAGUGACCUGCAACUAUUGUCAGAAAAAGGGGCAUAGGGAGUAUGAGUGCUUCACUAAGCAGAAGAAGGAGAAGAAUAGUAAUGGGAGUGGUAACCAGGGGGACUUAGGGUUUAACCAUUCAGGGAACCAAGGUUCGAAGCCUGUAGGGGCACAAAACAGCCAGGGAAACCACAAUAAGUCUGCCAAUGAGAACAACAACCAUAAUAAGGCUCCGGAGAAACUGUUCGUGAUGACUAGAAAUGAAGCUGAACGUUCUGCAGACGUAGUUUAUGGUACUUUUUCUAUUAACUCCGUGCUAGUUAAAACUUUGUUUUUUAGAGGGCGACUUAUUCUUUUAUUCUGUUGUUAAAAGUUUGAAAUUAUUAGAUUUUGAGGUGAUUGAUUUACCUAUUAGUAUGCCUACUGGUGUAACCAUAAGGUGUACUAAAUUAUUUAAGAACUUUUCUUUGAAGAUAAAAGACAACACUUUUCCUUCUAAUCUGAUAGAAUUUAGUUUUGGGGUGUAGACACCUAAAUCGUGUCUCCCCAUUGGGAUGAUGACGGUACCAUUAUCCUUAUUAGGCGGUUGGAGCAAAGAAGUCCCAAUUGCUAAGAACAUUUCCAAAAUCCAAGAGCCAAAAUCCAAUCCCCGAGGCCGUUCCCAUUCCUGAACUCGGUACAAAAUACAAUUUCCAAAAAUAAAUUUCAAAAUCCAAGUACAAUCUCACCCAAUGGACUAUGCCAUUGGUUUUACAAGGCCUUUUCCAGUCGAAAUGACAUUAAGCAACCCAAAUUCGGGCGUCGACCCACAAAACCGAGCAAGCCGGGCCUCAUCCCGUAAAACCGAAUUCAAAAACCCGAAACGGCUUGUUUUUAGACGCAAACCAAGCCUUAAUCAUCAAGCAAACACUACGUGCCAACUUAGUACAAUUCGUACAAAGGUACACCAUUACAAGCCAAAAGCAAGGACGGCACCUUUCGUCCUUGUUUGGCAGCUUCUGUGCCACGUCAGCAGUGCCUGGCGCUGGCAGUUGCGCUGGACUCUGGCGUGGGCUGGCGUUUAGCAGCAAAUUUUCCUAUUUAAACCCCUAAUUCUGAGCAUUAUGGGGAGGCAAAAUCGAAAAUACAACGUCGUAAUACAAAAAUUGCCACUCAAAUCAAAAUACAAAAAUCCUCCAAAAUCUCAUACAAUUUCAAGUUCUAAGCAAUUGGGAGCUCAAAAAGGAAUUCUUGCCUAAACCUAACUAGGUAAUUCCGAAUCCCAACCCUAAUCAAUCAUGUUUCCUUGAUUUUCUCUUUCAAAAAUGAUUAUUAAGUUGGCACUUUUAAUCUUGAAAGUGUCACUUACAACAAUCAUACAUUUCUUACAAAAUCCAAACUUUAUGUGAUAUAAAAAUGCAAAUUUUUAAGAUUCAAUGAUGUUCAAGGUUGUUUGUAAUCACUUCCUUGAACUAGAAUCAUCUUCAAAAUAUGGAGUAAUCAAAGAUGAUUCCUUUCUAAUGUUUAAAGGUUUAAUCUUUGAGACUCAAGACUCCACUUUUCAAAUUUCAAGUUCAAGUUUCAAGAUCCAAUAAUGUUUAGGGUUUUUUGUAAUCACUUCCCUAAACUAGGAUCAUUUCAACAUUAAAAGGUCCAAUCUUUAAGAUUCAAGACUCUUAAAUUCAAUAUUUCAAGUUCAAGUUCAAUAUUUCAAGUUCAAGUUCAAUAUUUCAAAGUUCAACAUUUUAAGUUCAAUAUUUCAAGUCCAAUAUUUCAAGAUUCAAACUUUUCAAGUUCAUGUUCUAUGUGCAAAAUCUAGUACACUUUGGGAUGAACAACUUGUCCUAAAGUUGAAAUUUUUAGCUUUGAAUCCUUGUCGAACGCACUUAUUCUUAAGGAGUAGUUUGGCGUUCGGGUCUCAUGUGCUUAAGUUCAAUUUCAAUAUUGCAAUUUCAAUAUCGCACCUUUCAAUUAUGCAAUUUCAAUUCCGCACAUUCAAUUAUGCAAUUUCAAUUCCGCAGUUUCAAUUAUGCAAUUUCAAUUCCACAACUUUACUUGCCUAGUCCUUCUAGGCAAUGUGGUUUCACCUCCUAGUCCAUUUCUAGGUGGUCUUGUACUUUACUAAUUUUGCACCUAUUUUAAUUUCUAUUGUGAUGUUGCUUUACUUGUUUAUUGCUUUCAUCACCUCAUAUGCUAAAUACAACAAAAUACAAGGUUACACCACGCUUAACAAAGAUAAUUUCUUGGACAAACCGAUCUUAGGUUCCCUUAAAUUAACUUUAAAGCAAAGUGGUCACAAUACAAAGUAGAAAUUCUAUUUGUUCUAAAUUCAAACCCACAUAGUCUAAACUAGGGUAUUUUCGAAAAUGUUGUGCCACGCAUUUGAAUCAUUUUUAAAGCUCGCAGAAUAAGCAUCUCGUUCCCUUGCCCGGAUCUCACCCAUCCGUUUCUAAGAUUCAAUGCCUUAUCCUAAUAGAGUCACUUUUUGGUCUUUCCAAACGAGACCCUAAAUAAUGUUUGGUGGCGACUCCUUCAAAAUACAAAGAUACAAAGGUUCUAAAACCGCCCCCGUAGGAAGGGAAAAAGCAACGAAAAUACCCCCUACAGGGGGACCUAGAUAUAAUUCUGGGGAUGGAUUGGCUAAGUUUGUACAAGGCCAAGAUAGACUGUGAAAUUCAGAAAGUAAGUCUAAGGAACCCUACUAGAAAAUUGAUAUCAUAUAGGCGUUUUGAGAAGACCAAGAACUUUGGGGUGAUCUCUGCGAUGCAAGUGAAGAAAAUGGUUAAGAAGGGGUGUGCAUUAGUUUUCUGUAGUGUCCAAGAUGUGAAGGAAAUAAUGCCCUUGGUCCAAGUACGCAUUCAAUGCUAAAUCUAAUAAAUGCGGUUCAAUAUUAAUUAAUUAUACAAGUUAAUAAUUCAGUGAGAUCAAGUGAACUGUAUGCCUAGCUAGAGGCCGCUUCAGUUCAAGUGGAAUUAAUAAUAUUAAUCCACAGCUUACUCUUGACUGAACCCGUAGGGUCACACAAAUAGUACGUGAAAGGAUCAAGUAUUUAAGUGAAUUAAAUACUCCAUUUAUGGAUAUUCGGAAUCGACGGAUCUCGGUUCAAGUGGGAGUUGAAAUCGUCAAAAGGCAAAUUAUGAAUACUCCGGAAACGAUGAUAUUGCCGGAAACGGAAAUAUGGAUCGAAUCGGAAAUAUAAAUAUUAUCCAAGUCGUAGAUGUUGCCGGAAACGGAAACAUGGUACGUAUCGGAAAAUAUUAUCGGAAAUGGAAAUAUUGCUGGAAUCGGAAAUAUUGCCGGAAACGGAAAUAUUGUCGGAAUCGGAAAUAUUAUCGGAAUCGGAAAUAUUAAAUAUUUGUUCGAAACGGAAAUUAAUUCCGGAAUCGGAAAUAUUAAAUAUUGUUCGAAUCGGAAAUGAAUUCCGGAAUCGGAAAAUUAAUCGGAAGCGCGUCGUACGAAAUAAACAUCGGACGAGCUUUCUAGACGCAAGGCCCAGCACGAAGCCAGGCAUGCGCCUAGCAAGCCCAUGCGCGCAAGGCAACGCAGCAGCAAGCCAAGGCACGUAGGCCCAGCCAAGCAGCACGCAAGGCCAGGCCCAGCGCGCCCAAGCAUUGGGCUGCGAGCAGCGCUGUGGGCCGAGCCUGCUCCGCGCGCGCCUAACGCCCCUUGUGGGAUGUGCGUGCGUGUGUGCGUUAAGUUCGUGCAUGCAUCGAAUCCUUAAGCGACUAGGAUUAGAUAAAGAUUAAUUUACCUAAAGUUAGUAGAGUUAGUUGUUUAAUUAAACAAUAACUUAUUAGUUUUAAUUAAUGUCUAAUUCUAAUAGGAUUAGAUUAAUUGAAACCUAGUAGACUUCUAGUUCCAUUAUUCCAACCCUAUAAAUAGGUGAUGGCAUUCACAAUUUAUAAACACUUCAAUUCAAGUAUUCGUAUAGUUUUUAAGGUUAAAACUAAGAUAAUAAUUUGCCACAAUUAUAUUCGAAUAAACUUAAAACCUUAGGUUGAAUUCUAGUUAAUUAAAUCUAAGGCGGAUCCGAACGUGCUAUGGACUAUCUACGGAGGGAUUACACUUGGAGUCCUAAAGUUGUUCUUGUUCGGUUCGGGAGCAGCUAGGGAGGGCACGCUACAUAAGUAUAUAUCCUAAAUUAUGCUAAUUGUUAUGUGGCAAUUAAUUUGGAUUCCUGGCUUUAUGGUUUUUCCACAUGAAAUAUAUAUGCUUUAUAUGUAUCAUAACCUAACAGUGGUAUCACGAGCCUCUAAUUAAUUCCAUAAUAAAUUAUAGUUAACAUGGUUAAAUUUUAUAAAUUUGCAAUGAAUUAAAGGGGUGAUUAAUUUCGUUUUUUGUAAUUAAUUACAAAUUCGUGCGAUUAAUUAUAUGUUCGCAGAAUUUUCGGUAGUUUAGUCAAUAAUGGUCGGAAUCGUAUAAUUUUAUAGUGAAUUUCGCAUGUAAACGGCGUUUUAAAAUUUUGACUAAAAUCAAAGAUUUGAUGUCGAACCCAGAAUUCCCAAAUUCGAAGCCUAACUAUGACUUUUCGGAGGUUUUAGUUUUUCGAACACAAAAAUUUGUAAUUUUUAAGAUGUUAAAUUAAAUAUUUGCGAUUCUUGUUUGUAAAUCUUGAAUCUAUGAUUGACCUACUGUAUAUGUUUAACAAUUUUAAUGCCUAUACUUGUUAAUUAUACAACCUAAUUUGUAAUUGUAAUUAAUUUGUUGAAAUUCGAAUAAUUUAGAAUUUGAUUUGAUUUUCAUAAUUAAUUGAAAAUUUAAUUAGGAAUCCAUGAUUAAAAACCACCAUAAAAUUUGUUAAAUUUGGUAAAUUUUAAAAUUUUAUGACCUAGAUUUGAAUCCAUGGAAAUAAACUUGAUCAGAAAUUAAUUUGAAUAAUAAAUUUUCGAUUUUCCGCCCUAAAUUUAUGAAAUUAAUAUGAUUUAUUAAUUAGUCUAUAAAUUUAAAUUAUAAAGUUUUGAUUUUCAUGUAAUCCUCUCAUGAAUCUUGUACGCACAAAGCAAUGGACGCUAACUGUUACCCUUAAGGGGUGUUGUAUAGUGCGGGCAUGCAACGACGAGCAAGGGAGCUCGUCGCCCAUGCGGUACUUAUGCAGCGAGCAAGCGAGUGGCACGCGAGCACAUGGCAGUAGCCCUGCCUUGCGUCGAGUGCUGCGAUGAGGCAUGGGAGGAUGGGCGAGCGACAAGGCACAAGCGAGCAAGGCAGGCUGCGCGCGGGCAGCGAGGGAUGCCUCGCAGCAGCGAGCGCUGCCUCGCCCACAGCGAGGGAUGCCUCGCCCACAGCGAGUGCUGCCUCGCCAAGCCUGCUGCUGCGCUACGACGACACAGCGAGCAAGCUGCUGCGCGCAAGCGUGGCUUGCUGCGUUUGCGCGUGGCUGCUGUUCGUGCCUUGCUGUACGAUCACUCGUGAGGGGCGAUGCUGCCUCGUGGACUCGACGGGGCAUGGGCGCAAGCCCAUGGCCUCGUCUUGACCCGAUUGAUACGCUUUAAUUUAAUUUUAAUUUUCAGUUGGAAAACGAUUUUAAUUGAAUUUAAAAUUCGUAAUUUAAUUUUUUUUUUCUCGGAAUUUAAUUUUGAAUAAUUUAAUUAUUAUGAAUUCUAUUAAUACUAAUUAUUUUACUAAAAUUAAAACCUUGAUAAAUUUUAAAUUAAUUAAUUUUAAUCAACUGAAAAUAAAAUUAAGGAUUUAAAUAAUAUUUUAUAUGAGCUUUAAAUUUUAAUUAAAUUUGUAAGUUUCCGGUUGGACUAGGAAAUACAAUUUUAUGUUUAAAAUAUGUAAAGCAUGUAAAUUCUUGGUUUUAGUGGGAGGAUUUUAGUCAUUAAACUCUUGAUUAGGUCUACAUUCCUUUAAGGUUAAAACAACUCGAUUAUAAUUAAUAAGGAUUAAAUAAUUUGUAGAUUAUUGGAAGCCUUGAUUAAUUGUUGCAAAUAUUUAUGUGAUGCAUAAUAUGUUCUACUAACUUGCUAUGUGGGCCACUCGUUGAUAAAUGAAUGGGUGAAUGGUAUAUUGUAAAUGUACUGUUUUGCAGGUUAUUGAAAGUGACUAGUAUGGCCCAAAUAGGAUAGAAAAUAUGGUCCGCGUACCAUUAAUUUGAAUGUGAAAUUGGUCUAAUGCACCAAAGUUUUUAAUUUUAAAUAUGGUCUGCGUACCAUCAAAUAGUUGUAAUUAGUUUCAAUUAUAGCUUAUCCUAUUUGAAGAAAAUGGCGCCUCUCAUGGUGAAAUUCAAGAAGGAGUUUCCAAUCCAUUUUCAAGGCGGAGUUUGAAGUUGAAGCUUCAAGAUGAAGUCGGGCCAUAAUAGAUCACAUUUAUAUCUUAUGCAUGCUUUAAGUUAUUUAUUGCUUUAAAUAUGUCUUAAUUAUGCAUGAGAUUAUGGCUUGAUUAUGUUGCAUGAUUAAGGAUUUUAGUUCACUUAAAAUCUAACCAACAUAGUAAGAGCCUUAAGUUCCAAACUUUAAAAAUUGAGUUCAAAGGUGUCAUGCCAAAAUAACACUUACUUGGAUAACUUUUACAUCAAUCUUAGUAAUAGUUUUCCGCCAUAGGUAGUUGUUAUUUAUUGAUCCUAAAGGGGUAAGGUACACAAAUAAUUGUGAGUACAUGUUAGUUUUGGUGAAACUCAACGAUAUAAGUAAGGAGUCCUUUUAUGUCGUGGCAAAAUCGAUAGGUUUACCUAAUAAGUUCUUAGACGUACCUAUCAACCAAGAGUAGUUUCUACACUAUUAGCAAAGGCUUUGCUUAUCUAAAAUAUUUUAGAAUUAAGUCUAAAUAUAUAAUGUGCUUAAUUCUUCAAUGAUUUAAGGAUCUUGGAAUAAUUUUAUUCACACCUGCCGGAACACAUAACUUGAAUAAAAUUCUUAAUAAAUGAUAAAUUAUGCAUGUAUGCUAGAAUUUAACUUUAUUAAGAGCUGUGAAUGGUUAUUUAUUUGUUUAUUCUUUUCAAUUGUAGUUUUAACUAUGGAAAACAACAAUUCAUUCAACAUCCGAUCAAUUCUCGAAAAGGAGAAAUUGAACGGGAAAAACUUCCUUGACUGGCAAAGGAACUUGCAAAUAGUUCUUAUGCAGGAAGAAAAGGAGUAUGUCCUGGAAGAGGCGAUGCCCGAAGCCGCUGGCGACGGGGUCACUCAUGCAGCCCUCAAUCUUUGGAUUGAUGCCAACAAGGAUGUAAAAUGUCUAAUGCUUGCAACCAUGAGUGCAGAUCUACAGAAAACGUUCAUCAACUCAGAUGCUUUCACAAUCAUCAGUGAGUUAAAGAACAUGUUCCAAGAUCUAGCUCGAGUCGAAAGAUUCGAGACUCAUAGGCAAAUUCUUGAGACUAAGCUUAAGAAAGGCGAGCCCGUAAGUCCACAUGUUCUCAAAAUGAUUGGACUCAUUGAGAAUAUGAGUCGGCUGGAUUAACAAUUCUCUCAGGAAAUGGUUGUAGACACCAUCCUCCAUUCUCUUCAUAGCGGGUAUGAUCAGUUCAAGCUGAACUACAGUAUGAAUAGUCUGGACAAAACGCUCACUGAGCUUCACGGUAUGCUGAAGACCGCUGAAAAGAUGCUCAAAAGUGAUAAGCAGGAUGUGCUUAUGGUGCGUGGGGGCAAGUUCAAGAAAUCUGGCAAAAAGAGGAAUGCUAAGAAAGGUGGCAAGAAGGCCAGCCCAACUAAGCAAUCUGGCGGCACCAAGUCUGAAAAGAAGAAGGUGAGCCAACCCACUUCUGAAUCUGAAUGCUUCUACUGCAAGAAGAAGGGGCAUUGGAAGAGAGAUUGCUUGAAGCUUAAGGAAGAUCAGAAGAACGGAACAGUCGUUCCAUCUUCAGGGACUAAGAAGAAGUAGAAGGUUAAGCAAGGGUGAAGUCGACCUACGAGUGGGAAAUAGAGCACGGAUUGUUGCAUUAGCUGUAGGAACUUAUUAUUUGUCGUUGCCCUCUGGCCUAGUUUUGGAACUGGAAGAUUGUUUCCAUGUUCCAAGUCUUACUAAAAAC